RNAcentral lists this ribosomal RNA (344 nucleotides) under Antilocapra americana (pronghorn). RNAcentral describes it as "partial 16S ribosomal RNA". It matches the Rfam family "Bacterial large subunit ribosomal RNA", at positions 1966 to 2484 of the family's 2925-position model. Lineage: Eukaryota; Metazoa; Chordata; Mammalia; Artiodactyla; Antilocapridae. The record is from RNAcentral.
CAUUUGUUCUCUAAAUAAGGACUUGCAUGAAUGGCCACACGAGGGUUUAACUGUCUCUUACUUCCAAUCAGUGAAAUUGACCUUCCCGUGAAGAGGCGGGAAUGAACUAAUAAGACGAGAAGACCCUAUGGAGCUUUAACUAACUAGCCCAAAGACAAACCAAACCUAACCACCAAGGGAUAACAAUGCUCUCCAUGGACUAGCAGUUUCGGUUGGGGUGACCUCGGAGAACAAAAAAUCCUCCGAACGAUUUUAAAGACAAGACUUACAAGUCAAAUUAUGAUAUCGCUUAUUGAYCCAAAAAAUUGAUCAACGGAACAAGUUACCCUAGGGAUAACAGCGCA